Molecule: transfer RNA, 68 nt
Filed under: Aplodinotus grunniens (freshwater drum)
Lineage: Eukaryota; Metazoa; Chordata; Actinopteri; Sciaenidae
Description: tRNA-Ser
Source: RNAcentral
GAGAGAGGCUUGCCAGCAACAAAGACUGCUAAUCUUUGCCACCUUGGUUGAACCCCAGGGCUCACUCG